This 483-nucleotide ribosomal RNA is filed under the name uncultured Escherichia sp. Its description in RNAcentral is "bacterial SSU rRNA". It matches the Rfam family "Bacterial small subunit ribosomal RNA", at positions 27 to 499 of the family's 1533-position model. Lineage: Bacteria; Pseudomonadati; Pseudomonadota; Gammaproteobacteria; Enterobacterales; Enterobacteriaceae. The record is from RNAcentral.
GAUUGAACGCUGGCGGCAGGCCUAACACAUGCAAGUCGAACGGUAACAGGAAGAAGCUUGCUUCUUUGCUGACGAGUGGCGGACGGGUGAGUAAUGUCUGGGAAACUGCCUGAUGGAGGGGGAUAACUACUGGAAACGGUAGCUAAUACCGCAUAACGUCGCAAGACCAAAGAGGGGGACCUUCGGGCCUCUUGCCAUCGGAUGUGCCCAGAUGGGAUUAGCUUGUUGGUGGGGUAACGGCUCACCAAGGCGACGAUCCCUAGCUGGUCUGAGAGGAUGACCAGCCACACUGGAACUGAGACACGGUCCAGACUCCUACGGGAGGCAGCAGUGGGGAAUAUUGCACAAUGGGCGCAAGCCUGAUGCAGCCAUGCCGCGUGUAUGAAGAAGGCCUUCGGGUUGUAAAGUACUUUCAGCGGGGAGGAAGGGAGUAAAGUUAAUACCUUUGCUCAUUGACGUUACCCGCAGAAGAAGCACCGGCUA